Molecule: ribosomal RNA, 312 nt
Filed under: uncultured fungus
Lineage: Eukaryota; Fungi
Description: SSU rRNA
Rfam family: Eukaryotic small subunit ribosomal RNA
Source: RNAcentral
UAACCUGCUAAAUAGCCCGUACUGCUCUGGCAGUUCGCUGGCUUCUUAGAGGGACUAUCGGCUCAAGCCGAUGGAAGUUUGAGGCAAUAACAGGUCUGUGAUGCCCUUAGAUGUCCUGGGCCGCACGCGCGUUACACUGACAGGGCCAGCGAGUACCUCCUUGACCGAAAGGUCCGGGUAAUCUUGUUAAACCCUGUCGUGCUGGGGAUAGAGCAUUGCAAUUAUUGCUCUUCAACGAGGAAUCCCUAGUAAGCGCAAGUCAUCAGCUUGCGUUGAUUACGUCCCUGCCCUUUGUACACACCGCCCGUCGCU